CCGGACCCCAGUGUUUUCUGGAGGCACGAAAUAUUUUAAUUUUUAACUCGAUAAUUCAGCCUUCCCGCCAGCUCCACCCGAGUCGUAGGAGCGGACUGCGGAACGCGUUAGAUCUGUGAUAGUUAAAGACCUUCGCCAUCGCACAUUCGACAGUCCGACUUCUUCUUCUUCGGACUUUUGUAAUUAUCUUGUACUUCUAUACUUGUCAUUUUUACUCUAGAGUAUCCGCAGUAGGAAAUUUUAAAAUUUAUAUAACUAUUCUGACUCCUGUUAGUAGUAUGAUGAUUUAUUAUGCAAGACAAUUAUGACUACUUUAUAUUUGAUUAAUUGUAUAUAUGGAUUUGCGGGUUGGUAAGGCUUACUACGGGUUUCGGUGGCCUUAAGCCUACCCAUUCCCUAGUGCCGGUCACGGGCCCCCAAAGUGGGUCGUGACACA
Long non-coding RNA from Ricinus communis (castor bean), 436 nucleotides. RefSeq lists it as uncharacterized. Lineage: Eukaryota; Viridiplantae; Streptophyta; Magnoliopsida; Malpighiales; Euphorbiaceae. The record is from RefSeq and is a predicted model, not a curated record. The transcript is spliced from 3 exons.